Molecule: ribosomal RNA, 261 nt
Filed under: uncultured prokaryote
Description: partial 16S ribosomal RNA
Rfam family: Bacterial small subunit ribosomal RNA
Source: RNAcentral
UACGUAGGGUGCGAGCGUUGUCCGGAAUUAUUGGGCGUAAAGAGCUUGUAGGCGGUUUGUCGCGUCUGCUGUGAAAAUCCGGGGCUCAACCCCGGACUUGCAGUGGGUACGGGCAGACUAGAGUGUGGUAGGGGAGACUGGAAUUCCUGGUGUAGCGGUGAAAUGCGCAGAUAUCAGGAGGAACACCGAUGGCGAAGGCAGGUCUCUGGACCACUACUGACGCUGAGAAGCGAAAGCAUGGGGAGCGAACAGGAUUAGAUA